This 1637-nucleotide unclassified non-coding RNA is filed under the name Hevea brasiliensis (rubber tree). Lineage: Eukaryota; Viridiplantae; Streptophyta; Magnoliopsida; Malpighiales; Euphorbiaceae. The record is from RNAcentral.
UAUUUUAUUUUAUUUUAUUUAUUUUUUUAUACAUUGAAAACUGAGUAGGCUUACUGAAAUGCUAUAGAUAGAAUACAAUGGAAAAGUGAUCUCAUUCUUGCAGGCAAUUAUUCAAGGCACUCCACUGAAACAAUUUGAUUAGAACUCUGAAUCUUUAAUACUUCAAACAUUCAAAAUUCAACUGUCAAGCCAAGAGAGAAGAAAGUGUAAGAAUUCAUUUUGAGUGAAGCGACGAAAAUCCUGUAAAUUUAAAACCAUCUUAAUUAUUAGAAAUUUCGAGUUCAUUUCAUACUUUUAUAUACCACUUUAUACAUAGGUUUACAACAAACAGGAAACGAAAUUGAGUAAGAAAAAUUGGAAAAUCAAAUGUAAAAUUGCUUAGCAUUUGAUCUUCUCUUCGGUGGCAAUGGAGUUCUUGCAGUGAGCAAUUGCUGCUUGAAUUGCAGCCUGCAAUUCCUCCAUGGUACUAUCACUAGUUGGAGAAGGAAGGGUUGCAGUUGCCACAAGAAGGCCACUGUUUGUUGGAGAGGUUCUCAUGGAAGCAGGUGCUGAGAAUUCUCCUCUCCUUCCUCGCAACUCCUGCUUAUUUCUCAAGUUUAAAUUGCCUGGAAACGAAUAGGGAUUCUUGUGUAUAUGGAGAUUCUCCUUCUUUCCUUUGAAGGACAAUAAUGGCCUAACCAUUCUCACGUACCUCUUUAGUAUAUGACUUACUUCGAAUCUCAGCCUUUUCUUUUGCUUCUCCUUGUCUUCUGUUUCUCUAACUUCACACCCUUUUCGCCAUCCGAAUAAAGAGAAAGGCUUAGGCUUGCUUCUAGCUUUUGUCUCGCCAUUGCUGCUUUGAUGUUGAUUUGUUUUAUUGCUGCUGCUGUUAAUGUUGUUCUUGUUGUUGCUGCUAUUUCCGGGCUUGCUGCUGUUGUUGUUGUUACUCUUGUUGGAUUUUUUAUCAGAUAAUAAUUCUCUGAUGGGGAGGGUAAAGCUGUCCAAAGAAUUGGUGGAUGAGCGAGGAGAGGCAGGAAGGUGAGAGAGGAGAUGGAGGGGAAGCAAGUGGCCAUGGAAGAAAAUGUCAUCUGCUGGAGACAAAUCAAUAGCAAAUGAAGGAGGAGGAGUUUUGGCCUUAUCAGGGACUGUUGUUGAGGAAGAAUGGAGAGAGAUUGUGAAGGAGAAUUCAUGAGAAGGAGAGGAAGAUGCUGAAGGUGGUGAGGCAGGGGAUGUAGUGGGUACCUGUUGAUUUGCUGCCGAUAGGUCUUCUUUUCCUUCUUGUUUUAACUUGCCAUCUUCAUGCUUAUCCACAAAUUUUUCUCUAGUAUUUCUAUGCUGUAUGGUCGCCAUAAUUCACAAAACUAUGCAAGAAAAACUAAUGAUAAGAUCUGAUUCUGUAUCUGCAACUUUCUUGAAUUUUUGGGUCUAACCCUUAUUUCCAAACCUUAGGAAUUUUUGGGGGGGUGGGGUGAGAUAAGGCCUAAAGGAAUCAAGAAGUAGUGGAGAAAGAAAGAAAAGUUGGACACUGAGAGAGAGAGAAAAAGAGAGUUUCUUGUCAAUCAGCAGUUGGGUUUAAAAUGUCUUUUGUGCAAAAAUUGCAAUCCAUAACUUGGGUUAUCUUUUUGCAUUGCAAAAUUGGUAUAGAGAAAAAAAAAAAA